RNAcentral lists this ribosomal RNA (253 nucleotides) under uncultured bacterium. Its description in RNAcentral is "partial 16S ribosomal RNA". It matches the Rfam family "Bacterial small subunit ribosomal RNA", at positions 524 to 776 of the family's 1533-position model. The record is from RNAcentral.
UACGUAGGUGGCAAGCGUUACUCGGAAUCACUAGGCGUAAAGCGCAGGUAGGAGGUUUGGUAAGUCUGUUGUGAAAGCUCCCGGCUUAACUGGGAGAGGCCAACGGAAACUGCCAGGCUAGAGUGUGGUAGAGGUAGCUGGAAUUCCCGGUGUAGCGGUGAAAUGCGUAGAUAUCAGGAGGAACACCGGUGGCGAAGGCGGUUCUCUGGGCAGUAACUGACGCUGAGGAGCGAAAGCGUGGGGAGCGAACAGG